AAUAAGCUAUUUAAGAGCGUACGGUGGAUGCCUAGGCUCUCAGAGGCGAUGAAGGACGUGAUAAGCUGCGAUAAGCUGCGGGGAUUGGCACACACAAUUUGAUCCGCAGAUUUCCGAAUGGGGAAACCCACUAUAUUGAAGAUAUAGUAUCCGUUAAGGAAGCAAACCCAGGGAACUGAAACAUCUAAGUACCUGGAGGAAUAGAAAACAAAAGUGAUUCCGCUAGUAGUGGCGAGCGAACGCGGAAUAGCCCAAACCAAAAUUGUUUCGGCAAUUUUGGGGUUGUAGGACCACGUUAUUGAAUGUUCAAUGAAUUAGAAUUCUUUGGAAAAAGAAACCAUAGAGGGUGAUAGUCCCGUACAAGUAAAGAGAAUUAUUCAUAGUGGUAUCCUGAGUAGCGCGGGACACGUGUAAUCCUGUGUGA
This 424-nucleotide ribosomal RNA is filed under the name uncultured Flavobacteriaceae bacterium. RNAcentral describes it as "bacterial LSU rRNA". It matches the Rfam family "Bacterial large subunit ribosomal RNA", at positions 1 to 441 of the family's 2925-position model. Lineage: Bacteria; Pseudomonadati; Bacteroidota; Flavobacteriia; Flavobacteriales; Flavobacteriaceae. The record is from RNAcentral.